This is a long non-coding RNA of Mauremys mutica (yellowpond turtle), 175 nucleotides long. RefSeq lists it as uncharacterized. The transcript is spliced from 3 exons. Lineage: Eukaryota; Metazoa; Chordata; Testudines; Geoemydidae. The record is from RefSeq and is a predicted model, not a curated record.
CCAGUCACUCGCCCUGAUUGGGCUCCCAAGUACAUCAUAGGACCUACAGUUGCGCUUGUCCUAUUGCUGCUGGUGGGGCUGGUCGGCGUCAUAGCUUGGAGUAAGAUGCGGCGCAAACGCCAGGGAAUGAGCAGCAAUGCGCCAGCCGAUGAACAUGGGAAAAGUACCGCAGGUG